AGAACGACUCUCGGCAACUGAUAUCUCGGCUCUCACAUCAAUGAAAAACGUAACUAAAUGCGAUACUUGGAGUGAAUUGCACAAUCCCGUGAACCAUCGAGUCUUUGAACGCAAGUUGCGCCCGAGGGCUUCGGCUGAGGGGACGCCUGUCUGGGCGUCACC
This 162-nucleotide ribosomal RNA is filed under the name Fagopyrum cymosum. RNAcentral describes it as "5.8S ribosomal RNA". It matches the Rfam family "5.8S ribosomal RNA". From Rfam's summary of the family: 5.8S ribosomal RNA (5.8S rRNA) is a component of the large subunit of the eukaryotic ribosome. It is transcribed by RNA polymerase I as part of the 45S precursor that also contains 18S and 28S rRNA. The record is from RNAcentral. Lineage: Eukaryota; Viridiplantae; Streptophyta; Magnoliopsida; Caryophyllales; Polygonaceae.